RNAcentral lists this microRNA (24 nucleotides) under Ananas comosus (pineapple). RNAcentral describes it as "microRNA s1476_c080b". Lineage: Eukaryota; Viridiplantae; Streptophyta; Magnoliopsida; Poales; Bromeliaceae. The record is from RNAcentral.
CCCUGAAAACUUUUGAAAUAUCCA